AGCGUGCGCAGGCGGUUAUGUAAGACAGAUGUGGAAAUCCCCGGGCUCAACCUGGGAACUGCAUUUGUGACUGCAUGGCUAGAGUACGGUAGAGGGGGAUGGAAUUCCGCGUGUAGCAGUGAAAUGCGUAGAUAUGCGGAGGAACACCGAUGGCGAAGGCAACUCCCCUGGACCUGUACUGACGCUCAUGCACGAAAGCGUGGGGAGCAAACAGGAUUAGAUACCCUAGU
This 230-nucleotide ribosomal RNA is filed under the name uncultured bacterium. Its description in RNAcentral is "partial 16S ribosomal RNA". It matches the Rfam family "Bacterial small subunit ribosomal RNA", at positions 564 to 791 of the family's 1533-position model. The record is from RNAcentral.